This 484-nucleotide ribosomal RNA is filed under the name uncultured bacterium. Its description in RNAcentral is "partial 16S ribosomal RNA". It matches the Rfam family "Bacterial small subunit ribosomal RNA", at positions 28 to 507 of the family's 1533-position model. The record is from RNAcentral.
AUUGAACGCUGGCGGCAUGCUUUACACAUGCAAGUCGAACGGCAGCGCGGGCUUCGGCCUGGCGGCGAGUGGCGAACGGGUGAGUAAUGCAUCGGAACGUGCCCAGUAGUGGGGGAUAGCCCGGCGAAAGCCGGAUUAAUACCGCAUACGACCUGAGGGUGAAAGCGGGGGACCGAAAGGCCUCGCGCUAUUGGAGCGGCCGAUGUCGGAUUAGCUAGUUGGUGGGGUAAAGGCUUACCAAGGCGACGAUCCGUAGCUGGUCUGAGAGGACGACCAGCCACACUGGGACUGAGCCACGGCCCAGACUCCUACGGGAGGCAGCAGUGGGGAAUUUUGGACAAUGGGGGCAACCCUGAUCCAGCCAUGCCGCGUGCGGGAAGAAGGCCUUCGGGUUGUAAACCGCUUUUGUUCGGGAAGAAAUACUCUGGGCUAAUACCCCGGGGGGAUGACGGUACCGGAAGAAUAAGCACCGGCUAACUACGUG